RNAcentral lists this ribosomal RNA (839 nucleotides) under uncultured archaeon. Its description in RNAcentral is "bacterial SSU rRNA". It matches the Rfam family "Archaeal small subunit ribosomal RNA", at positions 21 to 859 of the family's 1478-position model. The record is from RNAcentral.
AGGUUACUGCUAUCGGUGUUCGCCUAAGCCAUGCGAGUCAUAUGUUCUUCGUGAACAUGGCGUACUGCUCAGUAACACGUGGAUAACCUGCCCUUGGGUCCGGCAUAACCCCGGGAAACUGGGGAUAAUUCCGGAUAACGCACAUAUGCUGGAAUGCUUUAUGCGUCAAAUGGAUUCGUCCGCCCAAGGAUGGGUCUGCGGCCUAUCAGGUAGUAGUGGGUGUAAUGUACCUACUAGCCUACGACGGGUACGGGUUGUGAGAGCAAGAGCCCGGAGAUGGAUUCUGAGACAUGAAUCCAGGCCCUACGGGGCGCAGCAGGCGCGAAAACUUUACAAUGCGGGAAACCGUGAUAAGGGGACACCGAGUGCCAGCAUCAUAUGCUGGCUGUCCGGGCGUGUAAAAUACACCUGUUAGCAAGGGCCGGGCAAGACCGGUGCCAGCCGCCGCGGUAACACCGGCGGCCCGAGUGGUGAUCGUGAUUAUUGGGUCUAAAGGGUCCGUAGCCGGUUUGGUCAGUCCUCCGGGAAAUCUGACGGCUUAACCGUUAGGCUUUCGGGGGAUACUGCCAGACUUGGAACCGGGAGAGGUAAGAGGUACUACAGGGGUAGGAGUGAAAUCUUGUAAUCCCUGUGGGACCACCUGUGGCGAAGGCGUCUUACCAGAACGGGUUCGACGGUGAGGGACGAAAGCUGGGGGCACGAACCGGAUUAGAUACCCGGGUAGUCCCAGCCGUAAACGAUGCUCGCUAGGUGUCAGGCAUGGCGCGACCGUGUCUGGUGCCGCAGGGAAGCCGUGAAGCGAGCCACCUGGGAAGUACGGCCGCAAGGCUGAAACUUAA